RNAcentral lists this ribosomal RNA (452 nucleotides) under uncultured bacterium. RNAcentral describes it as "partial 16S ribosomal RNA". It matches the Rfam family "Bacterial small subunit ribosomal RNA", at positions 355 to 799 of the family's 1533-position model. The record is from RNAcentral.
UGGGGAAUAUUGGACAAUGGGCGAAAGCCUGAUCCAGCCAUGCCGCGUGUGUGAAGAAGGUCUUCGGGUUGUAAAGCACUUUAAGUUGGGAGGAAGGGCAGUAAAUUAAUACUUUGCUGUUUUGACGUUACCGACAGAAUAAGCACCGGCUAACUCUGUGCCAGCAGCCGCGGUAAUACAGAGGGUGCAAGCGUUAAUCGGAAUUACUGGGCGUAAAGCGCGCGUAGGUGGUUCGUUAAGUUGGAUGUGAAAUCCCCGGGCUCAACCUGGGAACUGCAUUCAAACUGACGAGCUAGAGUAUGGUAGAGGGUGGUGGAAUUUCCUGUGUAGCGGUGAAAUGCGUAGAUAUAGGAAGGAACACCAGUGGCGAAGGCGACCACCUGGACUGAUACUGACACUGAGGUGCGAAAGCGUGGGGAGCAAAACAGGAUUAGAUACCCUGGUAGUCCACG